UACGGAGGAUUCAAGCGUUAUCCGGAUUUAUUGGGUUUAAAGGGUGCGUAGGUUGUUUUUUAAGUCAGCGGUGAAAGUUUGUGGCUCAACCAUAAAAUUGCCGUUGAAACUGGAAGACUUGAGUGUGUUUGAGGUAGGCGGAAUGCGUGGUGUAGCGGUGAAAUGCAUAGAUAUCACGCAGAACCCCGAUUGCGAAGGCAGCGUACCGGCCGGUCACUGACGCUGAGGCACGAAAGCGCGGGUAUCGAACAGG
This 253-nucleotide ribosomal RNA is filed under the name uncultured Parabacteroides sp. Its description in RNAcentral is "partial 16S ribosomal RNA". It matches the Rfam family "Bacterial small subunit ribosomal RNA", at positions 524 to 776 of the family's 1533-position model. Lineage: Bacteria; Pseudomonadati; Bacteroidota; Bacteroidia; Bacteroidales; Tannerellaceae. The record is from RNAcentral.